Long non-coding RNA from Hypomesus transpacificus, 793 nucleotides. RefSeq lists it as uncharacterized. NCBI's taxonomy places the organism in Eukaryota, Metazoa, Chordata, Actinopteri, Osmeriformes, Osmeridae. The transcript is spliced from 2 exons. The record is from RefSeq and is a predicted model, not a curated record.
GUUUGCUGUAGGGGGGGGGGGGGGUUAGAGUGUGUAACAUUCCUGGGUUUAUGAAUGCACGCCGGCUUUUCCGGCAUUCCCUCGGAUCUCACGUGAGUAAUGGCAGAUGAAGCGGUUGUCCGGAACUGUCCACACUAAGACACGCCAACAUACACACUCACACACGCUCAGACACACUGAGCGUACGUUUUGCACCUGAGAAUGUGGAUCCCCCUUUCAUUUAUUCUGAAUGUUCUUUCUGUUCAAAGAAGUCUUGAUAUUCUACUGAUUUUAAUAUAUUCAUUGAACUAUCCUGUGGUAAUAGUGUGUCUGGCCCAGCAGAGGACUUAGGGGCACAGAGGGAUUUGUGGGCGGGACUUCAAAGGGGGUGGGCUUUGGCAGGGACUUACUUAUGAAUGUGAUUAUGAUGAAACUUUGCUUGAGUCUGUUCUUUCUUUCCCUUUCUUUUUUUCGUAUUCAUUUGGAGAAAAGAAAAGGAGGGGUGGGUGGGGGGUGGGGGCGGGGGGGGGGGUUUGUAUGUCAUUUGCACACGUGUAGCUGUCCCAUGGCUUAAUAAAGACACCCACACUUACAGGCGUUUGUUAACACUGAGCUCCUGGCUGCUGAGCUCACCUGUCGUUCACCUGCUCUUUCUGUUCCUCGCUCGUCCAGAGAGGUGCUGCUCUUUCUGUUCCUCGCUCGACCAGAGAGGUGCUCCGUCUCACUGCUGAGUUUGAUCAUCUUGGGGUUAUUUUUUCUUUCUGUACAUACUAUAAAUAUAUAUAAUAAAACAAAUAAAAAAUAUCAAUGUCAA